Molecule: non-coding RNA, 4986 nt
Organism: Equus caballus (horse)
Lineage: Eukaryota; Metazoa; Chordata; Mammalia; Perissodactyla; Equidae
Source: RefSeq, a predicted model, not a curated record
UGGGGGCCUGAGGAUUGGCCGAGGGGGGUGGAGAAGAGGGUCUCGCUGGGAGCAGAGGAGCUGUACCUGCCCCUUCAGAUGAGGAUUCCUGCACACCUGCGUUCACCGGGAUGCUGGGCCUGUCUGGAGCUGCGGGGCAAAGAACGGGGCCUGCUCCCAGUGGGAGAGUGUGUGUGUCACGGGAGCGGGUGCCCUGCUGUCUGCCCCACGCCUCCCCCUGAGUGCAGGGGACUGAGGGCACCCGGACAAGAGAACGGGAUGGUGGGACCUCCCUGUGUUUCAAGGAUCUGUCUCCCUUGGGAGGCCACUUGGAGAAAGCAGGGGGCCCUCAAGGGGCCCAGGGCUGGAGGAGAGGGCAAGUGGAGACUCGUGGUGGCCUGGGGGCUUCAGAGCGCCACUCAGGGGCACUUUGAGGGCAAAUUUAUCUUCUCAAAGCACAACAGCAGCCUGUGCUGGUUUCAGGGGAGCCAAACAGCCUCUGAGGGGACUGGCUGGACCAGUGGGCAUAGUGGACAAGAAUCUGGCAGCGGUGGUUGGCAGGGUCCCUGGGCACAGGACCCAGAGUGAUGCAAAGCCAGCGGUCGGGAGUGAAAAGUGGUUCUUCUUGUUUUGAGGGAUCUCAGGUGGGAAGACCCCGGACAUCUGUCUCUGGGGCAGCAGGUGGCUUCAGGGGCUGCUGCUCAUUAAUUUCCGGGUCCAUGUGUGACUGCAGGAUCUUUUAUCUAACUUACUGCUGCUCAGAGAAAACACCAGAAUAACCCAGCAGGCAACAGGCAGCUGGACAGUCCAGCUGGUGGGUUGGGGCUCCCUGUCCACAUCAGAAGCCAAAUCCAGGCUGCUGUGCAUGACUCCAGUGGCAAGACAGAGGGGAGGGAGGGGAGAGGGGAGAGGGCAGCAUUGGCUCCUGGAGGUCCUGCGUCCUGAGGCCCGCCUGCAGUGCCCAUUCUGCCGGUUUGAAGAUCACUGUCCUGGAUUAUUGGCACAGGGAACCCCCACUGCUCAGGGAACCCCAGCCCACCAAGAUGGUACUUUAAGGACAUCCCUAGGACUUACCUCUGGACCACACUCAUGGCAGGAGGAGGGGUGGGUGCAGAGGCCGUGGGUGCAGGCCCACCAUCCUCAGAGAGAAGGGCUUGGGACCCAGAGGGGAAGGAACCCGGGACCAGGACGGCUACAGGCCACAUGCCUCAAGGAGACAAGUGUCCAUAGCCAGGGAGAAGAUGAGAAAGCCGGGGCUGGGGGCCAGGACCCUGCUCACACUGGUGGGGACAGGCCUCAACCGCUCCGAGGAGGUGAAGCAGACAGGCCCGGUCCUCCUGGGGGCUGACCUGAGUAUACUCCGCUUUGUCUGGCCCAGCAGCCUGGGGGGCAGUGACUCCCAGCCUGGCUCUAUCAACCUGCCCUGAAGAUGUAUUCGCACGUUUGCCGCUCUCCCUGCAACCUCUCCCUCAAAGGCAGGCUGGGGACCGUGCGAGCAACAGAUGUAGAGUUCUAACUCCGUGCCGCUGACUGUGGCAUCAGGCUGCAGAUCCCAAAGACUCUGCAAACCCCGAGUAAGACGGAGACAAGCAGACCCUCAGGCAUGUCGUGUUAAAAUGUGGAAAACAGAAGACGGGGAGAAAAUCCCUCAAGUUGCCAGAAGAGACAGAUUAUCUUCAAAAGAGCAACAAAUAGACACCAUCAACUCCUCCAUAGACACAAUGGAAGCAGACAGUGAGGAGCGAGUCUCAAACGACGGAGGGAAAACGGCUCAGAAUACUGAAUUCUGCCCGGGAGAGUGAGUUUCGAGAAUAUAGGAGCCCAUCCAGGACACACGUCACAUCUAGUCAGAACUCUUGGCUGUCACGAUUUCUCAGAUGUUCCUGUUUUUGAUGACCUUGGCAGUUCUGAGGAGCACCGGCCAGGAGUUUGGUGGGGUGUUCUUCAGUUUGGCAGGAUCCACCCAGCGGCUGGGAGGGUGAAGAAUUCUCAUGAAGCUGCUCUUCAGACCACGACCUGAACUGAGAGGAAAGGACCUGAGCCUGCAGCACACGCAGGGGAUGAUCCCACAGCACGGUCCUCGUGGUAGUGUUCCUGCCACGCGAGUCAGGCGCAGAAGCCUCUGGGGCUCCCGAGGCACACGCUUCAGCGGGCACUGCCUUGCAAUCAGCCACAGGCGAAGGCUUGAUUGACGAGGAUGCUGAGCCUGCCAUGACGGCCAACAUCCGGGUCCCGGGGUGGGAAGCUCAGCGUGGCACUGCACUCAGGCCCCAGAGCAUGAUGAGUCAGGCCUCCCGUCCCAUCUUCGUGGCUGUGUCCCUCAGGACCACGCCUGGUACAAUUCUGUGUCAGUCAGGGUCCGCUCAGGAGCCAGAAUGGCACAGCAACGGCACCAGGAAGGUUUAAUAUACAGAGUUACUAACUGUGAGAGGGGCUCUCCCCUGGGCGGCGUGAGAGCUCUAGAGAGCCAGGAACCGCAGAUGGAGGGGGCGGACCUCUCAGUGGCGGCGCUGAUCCCAGAGUCCAGCUCUUCCCAGACUGAGAUCCAGACUUCAGGGAGCGAGCAGCGGUGGCCAACAGGGUCAUGGAGCAGUUCACUGAGGUGGUGUGCUGCUGAACUUUCUGGAAGCUGCGUGUGUAUCUGGUGCCCGAGAAACGUCCCCCGGGCAGCGCGGGGUCGAGGGACUCCGCGGGAAGCUGCUGGCACGUGGGCCGCCCGCUCCGGUGUGGCUGAUCUGUAACAGGAGGCAUCCUGACGUGGGGCUGUAAGAAGCAGAGAUUCUUUUAGGGGUCACGGAAGCUUCCUGGGGAGGCCGUGGGCAAAGCAGAGGGUCUCACCUGGAGUGUUGGAGAGGGGAUAGGACGCUGGGGGGCUCUAGGUCCUUGGAUGGGGUGGGAGGGAGGAUCAGAAAGGGGACCCUGGUGACCGGUGUGCUGUCUUCACAAAGGCCGACACCUCUGACUCCACUUCCCCCUCUCCAGCCUUCUACCCUCGCCCUCUGCCCCGCUGGGGACACUGAGCCCAGCAGACCCACCUGGGACUGAAGGAAACCUGUUUUGUCCCGUUUCCCAGCCUCAGAGGGCAGGACGCCCGCCACGCCCUCUCAGAUCUCUGCACCGCAACAGCCAAGGGUGCCGGCCGAGCAGGGGGCUCGCUCUCACUUCCUCCCUGGCUGGGGGCGCUUUCCCUGCUCCCCUGCUUCAGAAUUCUGCCCCCAUGAGGCCUCUGUGCUCCAGGCGGGGUGGAGGGUGGAGGGUGGAGGGUGGAGGGUGGGCCCAGCCCCAGCGAGCCUCCAAGGGUGAUUGCCGGCCACACUCUGGGCCUAGCCCGGCCCAGCCGUGCUCCAGGACACACUGUUCAGGGAGCAUGCACACCUGCCCCUCCCCGGGAGCCCCCAGCCCCGCCUCCAGGGGAGCACGCCCUGGGAACAGGCCGAGCUCACUCCUCCAUCGGGGAGACUCCCCGAGUGGCGGCUUCUCUGGGCUCAGCAACACCAGUUCCACCACAGCAUCGUGAAGCCCAAGAGCCUAGGGGUCCCCGGAGGCCGUGAAGCCCAUCCUUCUUGUUGUUCAGAGGGGGAAACUGAGGCCCACUGGUGGAGAAGGACCAGAGGCCUGAGCAUCCAGGACCUCAUGUCUGCAAAAGCCGAACAUCUGGGAACAGAGCCAAAUGGAAACGGGCUCAUUCACGCUGGAGGCUUAGAACAGUGCCGGCGCACAGCAUGUGCUACACAAACGCUAAUAAUAAUAAUAAUUAAUAAUAACAACAAUAGCAGUCACCCCUUUAGAACUCGGGGUUCUUAUCCCAGACUCUGAAAUCCAGCUGCUCUCUAGGUAGUCUGGGUAGCUGACAGAUUGCAGCUUGCUUUCAAAUCUUGGUGCAUUUUGCGAAACUGCCCUUUCCCAGCAUCCACAAGGAGGCGUCCACACAGCAGGCAUUCGGUGUAGAUUUGCUGAGUGAAUGGCUGAGCGAAUGAGGGAGUGGUGAUGCCUCCCCAGUUGGGAGGACCCCCACCCCUCGCCGUGCCGCUCAAGAAGCAAGUCCUGUUCCCCCAGCCCCUGCUCUGUGUGCACCUGUUUCCUCCAGGAAGCCUUCCUGGAUGUCCAGUGGAGUCAGAAGCUGCUUUGGUGUCCCCAGGGCUCUCUGGGCCUCCCCACAUCGUGUCCCGACUGCGGUGUAUCGCCACUGUCACUCGUCACUCGAUGAUGCAUGAGCAUCAGGAGGGCUGUGACUGGGCCAGGAGCCAUCACGUCCUUGGCUCCUGGCUCAGGGCCUGCCUGUGCAGGAGUCAGGCUCCCUCAUCUGCCCUCAGUUCUGGGGGAGUGCAGGAAGCAGAGGUUUCUGUAGGGGUCUGAGUGGGGGCCCAGAAGAUGGCUGGGCCAAGAGGCGGCAGGCCCGUCGUGGAAGAGCAGCCACGGACCAGCGGGGACAUGGCAGGAAGAUCCCCAGUGAAGGGGCUGAAAGGCAGGGCCACCAGUGAGGCCAGCCCUCCCUAGCCUGGGGAGCCAGCUGGAGCUGGGUUACGGCCCAGCUGUGCUGCACGAGCCUUUGCAAGUGGCAUAACUUCUCUGAGCCUCGGUGAAUGGUGGCUGUUCAGUUUACAGGUAACCUGGACCAAGCAUCAGAUCCGUUGCCGUGGAGACCACAGGUCCCGCACUCUCCAGGGACCCCACAGAGACGCCAGCUCCUCAUCCAGCAGAGACCAGCUCGAAGGGGAGCCGGGGGAGCAAGACGCUGGCCAAGUCAAACAUUCACCCAAGGGGCCGACUUAAAGAGUUCCAGGCCCUGUCUCCUGUCGUCCGGGGAAAAUCACGGCAGGAUGGGCAUCGCAGAAUGCAGGGAGCCGCAUCUCCUCUGCAUGUCAUAGAGGCAGAUGAGUGAGGUAGGUCCUCAACCAGGAUCCGAAUCCAGGCCCCUGAAGUGGAGUGCACUGAACUUAACCACUAGGCCAUGGGGCCAGCCCCAAGAGCCCCUUUGUGAAGCCAACUAACCAAUAAAGACAAAGC